CAGGAUUAGAUACCCUGGUAGUCCACGCCGUAAACGAUGUCUACUUGGAGGUUGUGCCCUAGAGGUGUGGCUUUCGGAGCUAACGCGUUAAGUAGACCGCCUGGGGAGUACGGUCGCAAGAUUAAAACUCAAAUGAAUUGACGGGGGCCCGCACAAGCGGUGGAGCAUGUGGUUUAAUUCGAUGCAACGCGAAGAACCUUACCUACUCUUGACAUCCAGAGAAUCUAGCGGAGACGCUGGAGUGCCUUCGGGAGCUCUGAGACAGGUGCUGCAUGGCUGUCGUCAGCUCGUGUUGUGAAAUGUUGGGUUAAGUCCCGCAACGAGCGCAACCCUUAUCCUUGUUUGCCAGCACG
RNAcentral lists this ribosomal RNA (353 nucleotides) under Vibrio cholerae. RNAcentral's name for it is "bacterial SSU rRNA". It matches the Rfam family "Bacterial small subunit ribosomal RNA", at positions 773 to 1125 of the family's 1533-position model. The record is from RNAcentral. Lineage: Bacteria; Pseudomonadati; Pseudomonadota; Gammaproteobacteria; Vibrionales; Vibrionaceae.